This is a long non-coding RNA of Nicotiana attenuata, 470 nucleotides long. RefSeq lists it as uncharacterized. The record is from RefSeq and is a predicted model, not a curated record. The transcript has 2 exons. Lineage: Eukaryota; Viridiplantae; Streptophyta; Magnoliopsida; Solanales; Solanaceae.
AAGCUUGGUGAUGUUUUCUUUGGCCACUUUAAAGAUGGAUGGCGCCAUGGCCGUUUUCUUUGUAUCAACAUUGACGGGACGAGGAGUACUGAAGUAUGGGAUGAAGGCCUUCUACAAAGCCGGAAGAAUUUGGAUUCUGACACCGGAACAGGAUAGAGUCUGUCUGGCAUAAUUUUAAAAUGCUAUCCUUCAGCCGUUCUGGUGCGUCCGCGAGAAACAAAUGCAGAAGAAUAUCAACUGAGGGCUGAUGUCUGUAAGAAGAGUUUUCUUCAACCAGCUCCACUGCUCGUAGCGCCUAUGCUUUAGUAGUAGCAGCACUCAAUUUUAAUAACACUACUGUUGUAUGAACAUCCUUUAAGCAUUUGUUUGUUCUUUAUCUGUACUGGUGGAAUCGAAAUUGAAUCUCCAAUUGUACACAUAUGUUGUAUAUUCUGUAUAUAGUAAUUUAAGUUUUUUUCUUUUCUUUUGAA